GGAGAGAUGGGUGAGCGGCUUAAACCAGCAGUUUGCUAAACUGCCGUAUGCGAUUAGUGUACCGGGGGUUCGAAUCCCCCUCUCUCCG
RNAcentral lists this transfer RNA (88 nucleotides) under Bacteroidales bacterium. RNAcentral describes it as "tRNA-Ser". It matches the Rfam family "tRNA". From Rfam's summary of the family: Transfer RNA (tRNA) molecules are approximately 80 nucleotides in length. Their secondary structure includes four short double-helical elements and three loops (D, anti-codon, and T loops). Lineage: Bacteria; Pseudomonadati; Bacteroidota; Bacteroidia; Bacteroidales. The record is from RNAcentral.